CCCCAGGCUCCGGGCAACGAGAUCCCGCAAACCCCGCCAGGUCCGGAAGGAAGCAACGGUAGCGGUGUGUCGCGUGUGCCCCGGAUUCCCCUGGGGUCC
RNAcentral lists this signal recognition particle RNA (99 nucleotides) under Leptospirillum sp. Group IV 'UBA BS'. Its description in RNAcentral is "Bacterial small signal recognition particle RNA". It matches the Rfam family "Bacterial small signal recognition particle RNA". From Rfam's summary of the family: The signal recognition particle (SRP) is a universally conserved ribonucleoprotein involved in the co-translational targeting of proteins to membranes. Archaeal SRP consists of a 7S RNA and homologues of the eukaryotic SRP19 and SRP54 proteins. RNAcentral also lists the same sequence under 2 other names. The record is from Rfam by way of RNAcentral. Lineage: Bacteria; Pseudomonadati; Nitrospirota; Nitrospiria; Nitrospirales; Nitrospiraceae.